UACGAAGGGGGCUAGCGUUGUUCGGAAUUACUGGGCGUAAAGGGCGCGAUAGGCGGCCAUUCAAGUUAGGUGUGAAAGCCCUGGGCUCAACCUAGGAAUUGCACUUGAUACUGUUUGGCUUGAGUUCGGGAGAGGUGAGUGGAAUUCCCAGUGUAGAGGUGAAAUUCGUAGAUAUUGGGAAGAACACCAGUGGCGAAGGCGGCUCACUGGACCGACACUGACGCUGAGGCGCGAAAGCGUGGGGAGCGAACAGG
This 254-nucleotide ribosomal RNA is filed under the name uncultured bacterium. RNAcentral describes it as "partial 16S ribosomal RNA". It matches the Rfam family "Bacterial small subunit ribosomal RNA", at positions 524 to 776 of the family's 1533-position model. The record is from RNAcentral.